AGUGAACGCUGGCGGUAGGCCUAACACAUGCAAGUCGAACGGCAGCACAGUAAGAGCUUGCUCUUACGGGUGGCGAGUGGCGGACGGGUGAGGAAUACAUCGGAAUCUACUUUUUCGUGGGGGAUAACGUAGGGAAACUUACGCUAAUACCGCAUACGACCUACGGGUGAAAGCAGGGGAUCUUCGGACCUUGCGCGAUUGAAUGAGCCGAUGUCGGAGUAGCUAGUUGGCGGGGUAAAGGCCCACCAAGGCGACGAUCCGUAGCUGGUCUGAGAGGAUGAUCAGCCACACUGGAACUGAGACACGGUCCAGACUCCUACGGGAGGCAGCAGUGGGGAAUAUUGGACAAUGGGCGCAAGCCUGGUCCAGCCAUACCGCGUGGGUGAAGAAGGCCUUCGGGUUGUAAAGCCCUUUUGUUGGGAAAGAAAAGCAGCAGGUUAAUACCCCGCUGUUCUGACGGUACCCAAAGAAUAAGCACCGGCUAACUUCGUG
Molecule: ribosomal RNA, 492 nt
Filed under: uncultured bacterium
Lineage: Bacteria
Description: partial 16S ribosomal RNA
Rfam family: Bacterial small subunit ribosomal RNA
Source: RNAcentral